AGUGAUUCAGUUGCCGUAGACCA
Molecule: non-coding RNA, 23 nt
Filed under: Arabidopsis thaliana (thale cress)
Lineage: Eukaryota; Viridiplantae; Streptophyta; Magnoliopsida; Brassicales; Brassicaceae
Source: RNAcentral